UACGGGGGGAGCAAGCGUUGUUCGGAUUUACUGGGCGUAAAGGGCGCGUAGGCGGCCAGCACAAGUCAGUUGUGAAAUCUCCGAGCUUAACUCGGAACGGUCAACUGAUACUGUGCGGCUAGAGUGCGGAGGGGGCAACUGGAAUUCUUGGUGUAGCGGUGAAAUGCGUAGAUAUCAAGAGGAACACCUGCGGCGAAGGCGGGUUGCUGGGCCGACACUGACGCUGAGGCGCGAAAGCCAGGGGAGCGAACGGG
Molecule: ribosomal RNA, 254 nt
Filed under: uncultured bacterium
Lineage: Bacteria
Description: partial 16S ribosomal RNA
Rfam family: Bacterial small subunit ribosomal RNA
Source: RNAcentral